Molecule: long non-coding RNA, 1352 nt
Organism: Ictalurus punctatus (channel catfish)
Lineage: Eukaryota; Metazoa; Chordata; Actinopteri; Siluriformes; Ictaluridae
Source: Ensembl
CGAAAUAUGAUUGUUUACAUUAAAAUGCAAAAGUUGAUGAAAAAGUAUGAUAAGGUGAAAAAAGUGACAUUUUAUGUCUAGACAGUCACUUUUCAUCAAAAGUGCAAUAACAAAACUAGUUCCCAUUCAUCCUGUGUCUCCAUGCACACUUGUGCUCUUUAUCCGCUCAAAACGCUAUACAGCGAACGAGAAGGCGCUAGGAGCAAAGGAAAGUGGUUUUUCUAACAAACUCGUAUAAUCAGUUGAACGACCUACUCCAAUUUGAUUCUUUUCACAUAUUUAGACAUAAUAUAGUACUAUGAAAUGUUUCUGACCCAAAAUAUUACGAAAUAUGAUUGUUUACAUUAAAAUGUAAAAGUUGAUGAAAACGUAUGAUAAGGUGAAAAAAGUGACAUUUUAUGUCUAGAAAGUCACUUUUCAUCAAAAGUGCAAUAACAAAACUUGUUCCCAUUCAUCCUGUGUCUCCAUGCACACUUGUGCUCCUUAUCCGCUCAAAACGCUAUACAGCGAACGAGAAGGCGCUAGGAGCAAAGGAAAGUGGUUUUUCUAACAAACUCGUAUAAUCAGUUGACCGACCUACUCCAAUUUGAUUCUUUUCACAUAUUUAGACAUAGUAUAGUACUAUGAAAUGUUUCUGACCCAAAAUAUUACGAAAUAUGAUUGUUUACAUUAAAAUGCAAAAGUUGAUGAAAAAGUAUGAUAAGGUGAAAAAAGUGACAUUUUAUGUCUAGAAAGUCACUUUUCAUCAAAAGUGCAAUAACAAAACUUGUUCCCAUUCAUCCUGUGUCUCCAUGCACACUUGUGCUCUUUAUCCGCUCAAAACGCUAUACAGUGAACGAGAAGGCGCUAGGACCAAGGAAAGUGGUUUUUCGAACAAACUCAUAUAAUCAGUUGCCCGACCUACUCCAAUUUGAUUCUUUUCACAUAUUUAGACAUAAUAUAGUACUAUGAAAUGUUUCUGACCCAAAAUAUUACGAAAUAUGAUUGUUUACAUUAAAAUGCAAAAGUUGAUGAAAAAGUAUGAUAAGGUGAAAAAAGUGACAUUUUAUGUCUAGAAAGUCAGUUUUCAUCAAAAGUACAAUAACAAAACUAGUUCCCAUUCAUCCUGUGUCCCCUUACACACUUGUGCUCUUUAUCCGCUCAAAACGCUAUACAGCGAACGAGAAGGCGCUAGGAGCAAAGGAAAGUGGUUUUUCUAACAACCUCGUAUAAUCAGUUGCCCGACCUACUCCAAUUUGAUUCUUUUCACAUAUUUAGACAUAAUAUAGUACUAUGAAAUGUUUCUGACACAAAAUAUUACGAUAUAUGAUAGUUUACAUUAAAUGUAAAAGUUGAUGAAAAAGUAUGAUAAG